This 332-nucleotide ribosomal RNA is filed under the name uncultured Legionella sp. RNAcentral describes it as "bacterial SSU rRNA". It matches the Rfam family "Bacterial small subunit ribosomal RNA", at positions 284 to 608 of the family's 1533-position model. The record is from RNAcentral. Lineage: Bacteria; Pseudomonadati; Pseudomonadota; Gammaproteobacteria; Legionellales; Legionellaceae.
UAGCUGGUCUGAGAGGAUGACCARCCACACUGGAACUGAGACACGGUCCAGACUCCUACGGGAGGCAGCAGUGGGGAAUAUUGGACAAUGGGGGCAACCCUGAUCCAGCAAUGCCGCGUGUGUGAAGAAGGCCUGAGGGUUGUAAAGCACUUUCAGUGGGGAGGAGGGUUGAUAGGUUAAGAGCUGAUUAACUGGACGUUACCCACAGAAGAAGCACCGGCUAACUCCGUGCCAGCAGCCGCGGUAAUACGGAGGGUGCGAGCGUUAAUCGGAAUUACUGGGCGUAAAGGGUGCGUAGGUGGUUGAUUAAGUUAUCUGUGAAAUUCCUGGGC